AGAUUAGUCCUCACUUGCUACACUACCUCAGAACUGCCGUCAAAGUGAACCAGCACAGGACUCUCAGAUGACCUGCUACACAGCUUUGUUUUUAAAUUUACAAGGCAAAAGAACAUGGAGAACAAAGACAGCAGGAUGACAACAGAAUGGAACUCAACAAUGGAAAACAGAAAGCAAUCAGAUAGCAAACAAACAAGAACUGACAUGAAAACCCAAAAAGAAACUUUAAAAAGACAAAGGCAACUGAUAUGUCAAGCAAUGGAGGAGAUCGAACAACUCUGGAGACAGACAGAAAGAAAGACAAAUGAAAUUGACUUCUUAAAGACAAAGACAGAGGGGCAACAGGAAGACAUUGAGAGACUGACAUCUGAAAAAAAUAAACAUCACCUACUAUUAAAGCAAUUUAACUUCCAAAUAAAAAAUAUAACUGAGAAACUCAAACAAAGCAAAAAUUCAGUUGCUAAGGAAAAAACAAACUUUCUGAAAACGUGGACUAAAAUAUAUCAAGAAAAGGAUACUCUGGACAGAAGACGUCAAUACUUCAUCAACGAGCGACACAAGCUAGACACUAUAAAAGCUAGUAAGACAGAAUCACCAAUAAGGGAGGAACCCAAAGAGCCCCUUAAUGAGCAGGUAAAGCGGGAACUGGAUAUACUGGAGAAUGCAACUGAGAAAAACAGGGAAAUAAUGCUUGAAGUAAAGAAAGUUAAAGAAAAAAUGGAGAAAACUAAAGCAAACAUACAGCAAGCAUUAAAAAGAAAUAAAAAGGACAUUUCAAAAAACAGUGAACAAAUUAACCACAUUAAACAUAUUAUGUAUGUAAAGAUCAACAUGGUCAAGCACAGAUGGGCAAGCAUUAUAAAACAGGCUGAAAUGAAGAAAAUUCACAUGUAUAAAGAAGGACAGAGAGAAAGAAACGAUGGAAAAGCCACAUUUGACACAGUGAAGAGAAAACUGUGUAGAAUCCAGGAAGAGAUGGAGAAACUUUGGGAUGUGCUGGAAGACAGUGAACAACAACUGGAAGUGACUCAAAGUGCAAAGCAGCAGCUAAUGGCAGAGAACAAUCACAUGAACAUCAAGAUGAAUAUUGAUUAUCAAAAGCAACAAGAUUCAGAUCUAAGCUUUAAAGUGACACACAUCCAGCCUGAAAGAGAUGAUUUAAAGAGAGUUGAAAUGAAACUAAAGACAGGAAGGGAAAAUGUAGAAAAAGACAAACCAAAUACUUACAUGCAGAAUUUGAUCUCUGAGGAAGAAGAAAACAAUGAAGUGCUUUGUAACAAGGGUGAAGAAACAAAGCAGAGCAUGAGGGACUUUACAGAAGUAAAGGCUCAAACGAAAUGGACAAAUUUUCGAGAAAAGCAAAAAAGAAGGGAGCUUGAGCGUUUGCUGGAGAAGAUAAGGAAAGAGAGGGAUGAGUUAGAAAUCAUGAAGACAAAAAUACAGCGACAAAAGGAAAGGGUUGAACAAAAACUGGAAAAUACUGUCACUGAGAUAAAAGGUAAAAUAGAAAAAACUGGUGCAGAAAUGAACAACACUUGGGAGAAAAUGCAGAGAACCCAAAGGGAGAUUAGUAAGAACCAGGAAGAAGCCAAGAACUAUAUGGAAAAACUGACAUCCAUGAAAACUUGGGUCAACAAAUGGAUAUUGGCACAAUCUACAAUCAAACAUACUUUUUCAGUGAACGCAUCCAAACUUCAAGAAUCACAGUAUGAAAUAGACACAGACUCCCUUGAGGAUCAAACAUCAGCAAUUCCAAAGGACAAAAAAGGGAAAAAAAGUAUAACAGAUACAACAUCAUUACAAAAUUCUGUAACAUUAGAUGAUCAGCAUCAAAAUAAAAAAAUAAAAGAACAACAGAAGGAGCAUUUUGAAUCCAAAUAUUGUUUUGCAGAAGGCAAAAAUGGGGAGCAGGACUUUUGCUUACAGAUGCGAACUGAAAUUCAUGAAGAAGUAGUGCAUGAUAAAACUGAAUUACUGAUAAUUGUAAGAGAAAGGGAAGAAGUGGAAAAACUGAUACGUAACCUAAAGCAGCAAGAGGGGGAAAUAAAGGAACAAAUAAAGUACACUAUUGAUAACAUGAACGAAAAAACUCAAGAUAUAAAAAGGCUCAUUUUGGAAAUAAAUGACCUGCAGAGGGCAGACACUGUAAUUACAGUCGGGGAAACUGAAAAUGCCCAGGAAGUAUUAACUAAGCUGUUGGAAGAAACUGAACAGAGAAAGAUUUUGAUGCUGAACACCAAAGUUUUCAAAAAUGAAAUAAUAAAAUAUGAAGUACAAGAGGGGGACGAUGCCAAAAAAAUAAAACAAGAGUCUAGCUUGAUAAGGCUUAAUGUUAACAAGCAAAAACUAAUUCAGAAAUCAGGAGAAGAGAUGAAAAAACAUGUUGAACACACCGAUGAAGAUAAAAAGGACAGAGGAGCCGAUAUACAAAGACUCAGGGCAGAGAUUUACAAAACACAAGAGAUUAUAAGAACGCUAAGAGGAGGACUUGAGAACCUAGCGGAAAAAAAUAACAUGGACAAAUAUCAACAGAAUGAAGGCAGUGAAAUUGAAGGAUUGCUAAAAGACAUCAAACAGUUUCAAGAGUUUUUGGAAAUUGUAAAAACCAAAAUAAAGCAAAGUGAAGUACAUAUGACAGAAGAAAUGAGCAAUAUAAAAUCAAUGAAAACUGCAGUGAAAAAGAAGAGAAGAGAAUUAGAUCAAAGAUUAGAAAAUACUUUGAAAGAGAGAGAUGGAUUAGACAUCUUUAAAAUAAAAAUGCAGAGGCAAACUGAACUGAUUCGGCAGAAUUUAGAAAAAAUGGCAAAAGUUAAGAGCACAGUCGAGAAAAUAGCUGCUAAGACCAGAAGGAAAAUUGAAGAGAUAGAAAUUAGUAUGAAGGAGACUGAAAUAAAACUAAGACAGUUUAAAGACCUUGACUGCAUUAACCUUAACUUGACAAAAGGCGCAAAACCAGACAUGGAACAUGGUAGUACACCUAAGCAAAGAACUGCUCUUGAAAUUUUCAAGACUGAAAUUAAGAAGACAAUGGACAAUAAAAGAGAUAAACUGACAAAAAACAAAAUGGACAAAGAAACUGAGGGAACAGAAAGCCUCAAACAAGUUAAUGAGAAACUGGAGGAGGUAAAACUUUCAUUAGACAGUCUGGGUCAAAAAAAUAAAAAAUCAGUUAGUGAGAAUGUAAAACAAAUAAUCAAGAGAGAAGAGACUGAGAUGACAGAACAGAUCCAAACAGCGAUAAAGAAUGAGAAAAUGGUUAAACAGCUAACUGAAACAGAAAUACAGGAGGAACAGGUGAACCAUUUGAGGGAGAAAACUGAAAGAAAAGAACAGGAGCUUGAUGACGGAGUACACAUGACCAAAAGGCAAAUAAGAGAAAUGGAGCUGCUGCAAUCAGAAUUGAAAAUAAAGGUAAAAGAAUUUGAGCGUUUUUUUAGAAAAAGUAUGAGAAAAAAGGAGGAAAUUGAAAUAAUGUGGUAUGAAAUACAACAAGAAAAGGAAGCAUUGAGGACCGAGAUCAAAAAGAAAAGAAGAGAAUUAGACCAAAGACUGGAGAUGACUAUGAGAAAAAGGGAUGAACUAGAAGUGUUAAGGGUAAAAUUGAAACGACAGAUGGAAGAGCUGGCUGAGGAGAAGCAGAGAGACCAUAAUCUGUUCAUCCAUCUACCCAAUGAACAUGAAAAACAUUUUGGAAGGAAAGAUGUGAAAAUGUUAAUGGAGAAAAUCAAAAACCACAGCUUAAAAGUUUCUCAGUAUACUAUUUACAUCCAAGACAUAAGAGACAAGUUUAAUUUACACAUGGGAACAAUUAGGACAGAGAUGAAAAUUCUAGAAAAUGUGAAUGCUCAUUUAGAAAAGGACAAAAAAGGAUUCAGAGAAGUUGAGGCUGAAAAUAAGAAUAUAACAAACAAAAUGAAGAGGUUAAAAUAUCAGCUUAAUAUACUCUUUGGAAGAGUUACCAUACAAGACACUGCAGAGAUGGAUGAAACAAUCAACAUCUGGGAAAAAAUCCAAAGAGAAAAACAGAAGCUUGAUAUGAGACUAGAAAAUAUUAAAAGGGAAAGACAAGAGAUAGAAGUUCUGGUGGUUGAGCUGGAGAUGAAGAAAAGAGAAAACCAACGUGUAAUCAAAAGAAGCAUUCAAAAAGAACAGAAGAUAAAAAGAAUAUGGGCUACUUUCAAAGAAGAAAGAACUGCCCUCGUGAGAGAAACAAAGCAGAAAAAGGAGGUUGAACAACGACGAGAGGAGAUCAUCAAACAUCAAGGUGAACAAGAAAUAAAGCAGAAGUUGCAAAAAGAAAAGAAAGGGAUGCAAAGUGAAAUUGAAGACAUGAGGAUGAAAGAAAAAAGGAAACAAAUUCAAAAACAAUGGGAACUAAUCAAGAAAUACUUAGGGGAAUAUAAAAAGGUAAUUAAAAACACUCAAUUCAUCAUUGGAAUAAUUCAGAAUGAAAAUAAACACAUGCAAGACCAAAAAAAUUUCUACAUGACCAAAAGGAAAGAAACACUGAAUAUUAAAAGUGAAUUAAAUAGGCAAAAGGAAAUUAUACGGUGUGCAUUAAAAAACAUACAACAAGAGCCAAAACAUGGGGAACAAGUGGAGACAAAAAUCAAGACGGAGCAAGGAAAGCAUGAAAAUGAAAGGGAAAAAAUAUAUGAGAUAGAAAAAGAUGCCUUGGAUGACUUAAGUGCAGACGAGAGUCAAGACAAAGAGGAUCUUGAAAGAGUGAAAGAGUUGUUGAAAAAGAACCAGAAACUUGACAUGAGAGGCUGUAAAAUCAAAAAAGAAAUAGACAUAUUAAAACAAAAAAAUGAAAACAUAAAAGAGGAAAGGAAAACAACUGAAAUAAAAGAAACUGAAAAAAAAAUGAAACUGAAAGAUUUCAAUAAAAUGUUUUGGGGCAAACAAAAAGAAAAACACAGUACUGAGUAUCUGACUGUAAAGAAAGAAUAUAAAAGAGAAACGACUAAGGAUGGUAUAAAAAGGGUGAUCUUACAAGACACAAAACAAGACUUGAUAAAAAAAGAGAUAAAAAAAUGUAACCAGGAAAAAGAAAAAGUCAUCCAGAUGAAAACUAGACGUGAGAAUAGAAAAGAACUGUUGUUGAAGGUAAGGAGAAACAUCAAAGAUGAAGAGAAAGAGAUGGAAAUGAGAGGAGACCAAGUCAUGGAUGAAAUGAAAUCGCUAGAGAUUCUGAAAGUGAAACUUCAACAACUGAAGGGGGAUAUAAAAGCCAAAAUGGAGAGAUUACUACAAAAUGUUGACAACAGGUCAAGGCUGCAAACAGUGUUGGAAGAAAAACUUCCAACCCAAGACGAACUGAAAGAAAGCAUUCGCUGUUUCACUGAAAUGUUAGAGAGAGAAAAGGAAGGUGUGAGAAGUAUCCUUUCAGACAUGGUCACCAAGAGAGAAUGCACAGAAAAUGAAUGGAAGCAGCAGUUUGAACUGGACAAACGAGAGCUUGAUAAAGUGAAAGAAGAUCUGAGACACGACAGAGAAGAUCUGGAGAGAGAAAGUGAGGUGCUGAAUAAAGAGAAAAUGGAUUUGAAGGUGUUGAUGUCUGACAUCAUGAAACAAUUUGAAAUAUUGGAAGAAAAGAAACAAAAUAUAAAAGAAGAACGAGACUCAAUGGAAACCAUAAAGCUUGAACUGCUCAAUAAGAUGGAACAUGUAAACAGGCUGUUACAUGAGACAAAUGACGAAAAAGCCAAGAUUAAAAAUUGUAUCCUUCAGGUUCAAAUGGAAAAAGAAAGACUUGAAGACAUUUUAAGCAAGAUUUUCUUAACACAUAAUGAAGAAAAAGUCAAGGAAUAUGGCCUCAGAAGACAAACAAAAGAAGUGGAAAUCAUGAAAAAGGAAUUACAGAGUGAAAGAGCAAAAGUGGAGAGUCUGAUGAGGAAUCUGAAGAAGAAGCAAGAAGAGCUUGAACGUGCAAAGGAAAUCAUGAGUGGAGAAAAAGAAGAGAUGAAAGAGAUGAAGACUGACAUUGCCAAAGAACGAGAACUGUUGUUGAAGGAAAGGAGAAAUAUGGAAGAAGAGCGGUCUGAGAUGGAAAUGAGAGGAGACCAAGUCAUGGAUGAAAUGAAAUUGCUAGAGAUUCUGAAAGUGAAACUUCAACAACUGAAGGAGGAUAUAAAAGCCAAAAUGGAGAGAUUACUACAAAAUGUUGACAACAGGUCAAGGCUGCAAACAGUGUUGGAAGAAAAACUUCCAACCCAAGACGAACUGAAAGAAAGCAUUCGCUGUUUCACUGAAAUGUUAGAGAGAGAAAAGGAAGGUGUGAGAAGUAUCCUUUCAGAAAUGGUCACCAAGAGAGAAAGCACAGAAAAUGAAUGGAAGCAGCAGUUUGAACUGGACAAACGAGAGCUUGAUAAAGUGAAAGAAGAUCUGAGACACGACAGAGAAGAUCUGGAGAGAGAAAGUGAGGUGCUGAAUAAAGAGAAAAUGGAUUUGAAGGUGUUGAUGUCUGACAUCAUGAAACAAUUUGAAAUAUUGGAAGAAAAGAAACAAAAUAUAAAAGAAGAACGAGACUCAAUGGAAACCAUAAAGCUUGAACUGCUCAAUAAGAUGGAACAUGUAAACAGGCUGUUACAUGAGACAAAUGACGAAAAAGCCAAGAUUAAAAAUUGUAUCCUUCAGGUUCAAACGGAAAAAGAAAGACUUGAAGACAUUUUAAGCAAGAUUUUCUUAACACAUAAUGAAGAAAAAGUCAAGGAAGAUGGCCUCAGAAGACAAACAAAAGAAGUGGAAAUCAUGAAAAAGGAAUUACAGAGUGAAAGAGCAAAAGUGGAGAGUCUGAUGAGGAAUCUGAAGAAGAAGCAAGAAGAGCUUGAACGUGCAAAGGGAAUCAUGAGUGAAGAAAAAGAAGAGAUGAAAGAGAUGAAGACUGACAUUGCCAAAGAACGAGAACUGUUGUUGAAAGAAAGGAGAAAUAUGGAAGAAGAGCGGUCUGAGAUGGAAAUGAGAGGAGACCAAGUCAUGGAUGAAAUGAAAUUGCUAGAGAUUCUGAAAGUGAAACUUCAACAACUGAAGGAGGAUAUAAAAGCCAAAAUGGAGAGAUUACUACAAAAUGUUGACAACAGGUCAAGGCUGCAAACAGUGUUGGAAGAAAAACUUCCAACCCAAGACGAACUGAAAGAAAGCAUUCGCUGUUUCACUGAAAUGUUAGAGAGAGAAAAGGAAGGUGUGAGAAGUAUCCUUUCAGAAAUGGUCACCAAGAGAGAAUGCACAGAAAAUGAAUGGAAGCAGCAGUUUGAACUGGACAAACGAGAGCUUGAUAAAGUGAAAGAAGAUCUGAGACACGACAGAGAAGAUCUGGAGAGAGAAAGUGAGAAGUAUCCUUUCAGAAAUGGUCACCAAGAGAGAAUGCACAGAAAAUGAAUGGAAGCAGCAGUUUGAACUGGACAAACGAGAGCUUGAUAAAGUGAAAGAAGAUCUGAGACACGACAGAGAAGAUCUGGAGAGAGAAAGUGAGAAGUAUCCUUUCAGAAAUGGUCACCAAGAGAGAAUGCACAGAAAAUGAAUGGAAGCAGCAGUUUGAACUGGACAAACGAGAGCUUGAUAAAGUGAAAGAAGAUCUGAGACACGACAGAGAAGAUCUGGAGAGAGAAAGUGAGGUGCUGAAUAAAGAGAAAAUGGAUUUGAAGGUGUUGAUGUCUGACAUCAAGAAACAAUUUGAAAUAUUGGAAGAAAAGAAACAAAAUAUAAAAGAAGAACGAGACUCAAUGGAAACCAUAAAGCUUGAACUGCUCAAUAAGAUGGAACAUGUAAACAGGCUGUUACAUGAGACAAAUGACGAAAAAGCCAAGAUUAAAAAUUGUAUCCUUCAGGUUCAAACGGAAAAAGAAAGACUUGAAGACAUUUUAAGCAAGAUUUUCUUAACACAUAAUGAAGAAAAAGUCAAGGAAGAUGACCUCAGAAGUCAAACAAAAGAAGUGGAAAUCAUGAAAAAGGAAUUACAGAGUGAAAGAGCAAAAGUGGAGAGUCUGAUGAGGAAUCUGAAGAAGAAGCAAGAAGAGCUUGGGCGUGCAAAGGGAAUCAUGAGUGAAGAAAAAGAAGAGAUGAAAGAGAUGAAGACUGACAUUGCCAAAGAACGAGAACUGUUGUUGAAGGAAAGGAGAAAUAUGGAAGAAGAGCGGUCUGAGAUGGAAAUGAGAGGAGACCAAGUCAUGGAUGAAAUGAAAUUGCUAGAGAUUCUGAAAGUGAAACUUCAACAACUGAAGGAGGAUAUAAAAGCCAAAAUGGAGAGAUUACUACAAAAUGUUGACAACAGGUCAAGGCUGCAAACAGUGUUGGAAGAAAAACUUCCAACCCAAGACGAACUGAAAGAAAGCAUUCGCUGUUUCACUGAAAUGUUAGAGAGAGAAAAGGAAGGUGUGAGAAGUAUCCUUUCAGACAUGGUCACCAAGAGAGAAUGCACAGAAAAUGAAUGGAAGAAGCAGUUUGAACUGGACAAACGAGAACUUGAUAAAGUGAAAGAAGAUCUAAAACAUGACAGAGAAGAUCUGGAGAGAGAAAGUGAGGUGUUGAAUAAAGAGAAAAUGGAUUUGAAGGUGUUGAUGUCUGACAUCAAGAAACAAUUUGAAAUAUUGGAAGAAAAGAAACAAAAUAUAAAAGAAGAACGAGACUCAAUGGAAACCAUAAAGCUUGAACUGCUCAAUAAGAUGGAACAUGUAAACAGGCUGUUACAUGAGACAAAUGACGAAAAAGCCAAGAUUAAAAAUUGUAUCCUUCAGGUUCAAACGGAAAAAGAAAGACUUGAAGACAUUUUAAGCAAGAUUUUCUUAACACAUAAUGAAGAAAAAGUCAAGGAAGAUGAACUCAGAAGUCAAACAAAAGAAGUGGAAAUCAUGAAAAAGGAAUUACAGAGUGAAAGAGCAAAAGUGGAGAGUCUGAUGAGGAAUCUGAAGAAGAAGCAAGAAGAGCUUGAACGUGCAAAGGGAAUCAUGAGUGAAGAAAAAGAAGAGAUGAAAGAGAUGAAGACUGACAUUGCCAAAGAACGAGAACUGUUGUUGAAGGAAAGGAGAAAUAUGGAAGAAGAGCGGUCUGAGAUGGAAAUGAGAGGAGACCAAGUCAUGGAUGAAAUGAAAUUGCUAGAGAUUCUGAAAGUGAAACUUCAACAACUGAAGGAGGAUAUAAAAGCCAAAAUGGAGAGAUUACUACAAAAUGUUGACAACAGGUCAAGGCUGCAAACAGUGUUGGAAGAAAAACUUCCAACCCAAGACGAACUGAAAGAAAGCAUUCGCUGUUUCACUGAAAUGUUAGAGAGAGAAAAGGAAGGUGUGAGAAGUAUCCUUUCAGAAAUGGUCACCAAGAGAGAAAGCACAGAAAAUGAAUGGAAGCAGCAGUUUGAAUUGGACAAACGAGAGCUUGAUGAAGUGAAAGAAAAUCUGAGACACGACAGAGAAGAUCUGGAGAGAGAAAGUGAGGUGCUGAAUAAAGAGAAAAUGGAUUUGAAGGUGUUGAUGUCUGACAUCAAGAAACAAUUUGAAAUAUUGGAAGAAAAGAAACAAAAUAUAAAAGAAGAACGAGACUCAAUGGAAACCAUAAAGCUUGAACUGCUCAAUAAGAUGGAACAUGUAAACAGGCUGUUACAUGAGACAAAUGACGAAAAAGCCAAGAUUAAAAAUUGUAUCCUUCAGGUUCAAACGGAAAAAGAAAGACUUGAAGACAUUUUAAGCAAGAUUUUCUUAACACAUAAUGAAGAAAAAGUCAAGGAAGAUGAACUCAGAAGUCAAACAAAAGAAGUGAAAAUCAUGAAAAAGGAAUUACAGAGUGAAAGAGCAAAAGUGGAGAGUCUGAUGAGGAAUCUGAAGAAGAAGCAAGAAGAGCUUGAACGUGCAAAGGGAAUCAUGAGUGAAGAAAAAGAAGAGAUGAAAGAGAUGAAGACUGACAUUGCCAAAGAACAAGAACUGUUGUUGAAGGAAAGGAGAAAUAUGGAAGAAGAGCGGUCUGAGAUGGAAAUGAGAGGAGACCAAGUCAUGGAUGAAAUGAAAUUGCUAGAGAUUCUGAAAGUGAAACUUCAACAACUGAAGGAGGAUAUAAAAGCCAAAAUGGAGAGAUUACUACAAAAUGUUGACAACAGGUCAAGGCUGCAAACAGUGUUGAAAGAAAAACUUCCAACCCAAGAUGAACUGAAAGAAAGCAUUCGCUGUUUCACUGAAAUGUUAGAGAGAGAAAAGGAAGGUGUGAGAAGUAUCCUUUCAGACAUGGUCACCAAGAGAGAAUGCACAGAAAAUGAAUGGAAGCAGCAGUUUGAACUGGACAAACGAGAGCUUGAUGAAGUGAAAGAAGAUCUGAGACACGACAGAGAAGAUCUGGAGAGAGAAAGUGAGGAGCUGAAUAGAGAGAAAAUGGAUUUGAAGGUGUUGAUGUCUGACAUCAAGAAACAAUUUGAAAUAUUGGAAGAAAAGAAACAAAAUAUAAAAGAAGAACGAGACUCAAUGGAAAUCAUAAAGCUUGAACUGCUCAAUAAGAUGGAACAUGUAAACAGGCUGUUACAUGAGACAAAUGAAGAAAAAGCCAAGAUUAAAAAUUGUAUCCUUCAGGUUCAAAUGGAAAAAGAAAGACUUGAAGACAUUUUAAGCAAGAUUUUCUUAACACAUAAUGAAGAAAAAGUCAAGGAAGAUGACCUCAGAAGACAAACAAAAGAAGUGGAAAUCAUGAAAAAGGAAUUACAGAGUGAAAGAGCAAAAGUGGAGAGUCUGAUGAGGAAUCUGAAGAAGAAGCAAGAAGAGCUUGAACGUGCAAAGGGAAUCAUGAGUGAAGAAAAAGAAGAGAUGAAAGAGAUGAAGACUGACAUUGCCAAAGAACAAGAACUGUUGUUGAAGGAAAGGAGAAAUGUGGAAGAACAGCAGUCUGGGAUGGAAAUGAGGGGAGACCAAGUCAUGGAUGAAAUGAAAUCACUAGAGAUUCUGAAAGUGAAACUAAUUGCGAGGAAAUCCCUGAAAGGUGAACUGUCUGAUGUACAACCCAGAGAGGACAUCCUCAGUAGUGUUACAAUCUCUACAAGAAACCUUAUAGGAAAACUAAAUAGACUGAUUCAUCAAGACUUGCCGACAUAUAUUAAGAGAGUAGAGGGGGAAAAUGAAAAAAUAUUACAAGUGAUCUCCACAUAUGAACAAAAUUGGGUCAGAAUUUAUAAGCAGAAAAUUAAAAUUACUGCAGAUUAUGACAAGAUACAACAACAAAAGAAACAUGUGUUUAAGACAACAUUUGACAAAGCAAUCCAAACUGAGGAUGUUGUAAAACAAUGCUUACAUGAGCAUCAGGAUGAAGAGACCAAUGAACAUGAAUUUAAGCAGAGGAUGAAGGAUGUUGCAGUUAAUCUUGAAGGAAGCAAAAGAUACUUGACACCUGACAAGGAAGGUCUGCUGUUAGUAGGAGAAGGUGAAGAAUUUGGAAAUGUCAAGAAAACAAAUCUUGCAACGUUGUCCAUCUUGUCAGCAGAGGAAGAUGACUUCACACAGAAGGGAAUUUUAAAAACUGAGUUUUUGAAACAAAUCUGGAAGGACACUAGAAUAGAACGAAAUGAAAUAAAUCAGAUGAAGCUCAGAGGUCAAGAAAUGAGAAACAAUAUGGAUAAAAGAGUAAAGGUGAUCAAUCAUUUUGUUAGGAGAUCAAUAUUUCAGAAAGAAAAGACAUCAGUUGAGAAAACAAGAAAAAUGUUGGAACAUGGGCAAAGUAAUACGUUUUUAUCUGUAAGUGGCAGGGAUGGAGAACACAAAUCACUUGAUGAAAAAUAUACCGAGCUCCAACAACUUAAGGUCCGCAUGCUUAGUGAGAUUGAGAAAUUCUACAUACAAAACAAAGCGUCUAAGACACUGACAACUAGCAACAAAGCUAAUCAAACAGUUCAACUAGAUUCUCCAAAUAUCUAUCAAGAGCAAAUAAAGGUAGAAGAAUCUGAAGCAGCACCAGAGAGAUCUCCUGGACUCCUCAGUCAGCUCAGACUUUCCUGUUAUCGCUGUUGCUCCCGUUAUUGUGCCUACUGCAAGCAAGGAUGUAUAAAGAAAAAAUGAGAGGCAAGAAAAGUGCUACAUAAAAAUCAGUCCAUUUACCUUUUGUUUUACUUUUUAGUUAUAUUAAUAUGUGUGUAUUUGGAAAAUGUGUUUUUCCCGUUAAUCAUAUUAACCUAACAACGUAAGAGUACCAGUCUGAUGUCAAUCAUCUAAUUUUUAAACAACUAGUUAUGUAAUGUAAAAGUAUUCCUUUAACAUGUUAUUUUUUUCACAAAUGCAAAAUAUUAAAGUUUAACAGAUAAUCUUAACAUUUCUAAUUACAUUUUUAUGCUGAUUUCUAAUUAAUCUUCUUUCAACAUAUUUAUUCUGUUGUCUUGUGUUAGAAUACAGAAGCACAAAGAAUACAGUAAAAUCAAAACUAACAAGAAUAUUUGAAAACUGUGACUCCAUAUAUAUUCAUAUUUAAAUGAAAGAAAAAUGCAUGUUUAACAUAAAUUUGAUCCCUAAAUAAAUCUUUUUCCAAAACCA
Long non-coding RNA from Astatotilapia calliptera (eastern happy), 12488 nucleotides. The record is from Ensembl. NCBI's taxonomy places the organism in Eukaryota, Metazoa, Chordata, Actinopteri, Cichliformes, Cichlidae.